CAGCAGCCGCGGUAAUACGGAGGGUGCAAGCGUUAAUCGGAAUUACUGGGCGUAAAGCGCACGCAGGCGGUCUGUCAAGUCGGAUGUGAAAUCCCCGGGCUCAACCUGGGAACUGCAUUCGAAACUGGCAGGCUAGAGUCUUGUAGAGGGGGGUAGAAUUCCAGGUGUAGCGGUGAAAUGCGUAGAGAUCUGGAGGAAUACCGGUGGCGAAGGCGGCCCCCUGGACAAAGACUGACGCUCAGGUGCGAAAGCGUGGGGAGCAAACAGGAUUAGAUACCCGCGUAGUCCCUGUCUCUUAUAC
RNAcentral lists this ribosomal RNA (301 nucleotides) under uncultured bacterium. RNAcentral's name for it is "partial 16S ribosomal RNA". It matches the Rfam family "Bacterial small subunit ribosomal RNA", at positions 509 to 807 of the family's 1533-position model. The record is from RNAcentral.